UUGUGGAAUUAACAAGAUAAGUACCACAGCGAUAAGUCGUCUGCACCGUCUGCACCACAGAAAUUAACAACAUGCGACUGACAACAAUGAACGUUUGUUGCAGAUUUCUUGUAUGAAUUCCGACAUUAGAUAGUGCAGUUUUAAACUUACUUUAUUUUUUUAAACACCACAUUGCUAAAUGAUCGGAUUACAUACUCGCAACGACAGCUCUAAUUCUGAACUUCCAAAGUAUUUGCUAUCAUUCUAGACUAUGAAUGUAAAACUUAUGCCCCGGAUCGAAGGAAUCUACUGUGCCCUUAUUUAAACGAAUUUCGGAGCCUAAAUGAUUAUGUCAAAACAAACUGCACUCGCACAAAUUAUUGUGCUGAAGUGUCUUACGAUCCCGAUGGCGGCACAAAAAGGUUUGUGGGAAAGAACUGUCUUGGCGAUGAUGGUUUAGCGGGAAGUCAACAGGACAAGCCUAAGCCCCGGGUGCACGAUAGAUGAAGGUGGCGGUGUUCGACAUGUUACAUGCUUGUGCAACACUGAUUUAUGCAACAAUCGAACGCUCGCGGAACUACUUGUAGCACGGUCCGCUAAUAACGCAAUCUAUCCAUUUUUGCCAGUUUUAACUGUUACAGCUUUUUUAGCAAAGCGUCUGAGACACCGGGAUUAUGAUACCGGUGUAGAAUUACCCGAAAUCUUGCGCAGAGAAUUGCAAAUCUGCCACGUGUACUUUCGGUUAAUGUAGGUAAUUAUUAUUAUUAUUGGUAAUUAGUUUUGGUGAAUGUUCUAAAAUUAGCAAGUGUAGUCAAGGCAUAAAGCCGGUUGACCGCUUGCAUCAACCCAACGUUUAUUUUUCCUGGUGUAAUUGCCGGUUGCCUAGCAGUUGAGCGAAGCUAGUACGCGGAGGUUGACGAGCGGCUGCUUUUCUACAUACAAGAGACUGCCAAACGAACUGCUAGAAAAAGCUAAACAGCU
This is a long non-coding RNA of Paramacrobiotus metropolitanus, 960 nucleotides long. RefSeq lists it as uncharacterized. The record is from RefSeq and is a predicted model, not a curated record. The transcript has 3 exons. NCBI's taxonomy places the organism in Eukaryota, Metazoa, Tardigrada, Eutardigrada, Parachela, Macrobiotidae.